UAAAUACUAUUAUAGGUGUCAUAACAUUAGGAAUAAAGAUUGUUUUGAUUGAUAUGAAAAUAGAAAAAAAGAGUUUUCCACUCCAUUUGUAAAAUUAAGUGAUAUAAGCCAAAAUGAUAAAAAGAAAAGGUCCAAUAAAUAUAUAGAAGGAUCAUCUUUUCUGUCCGACAUCUUAGCGAGGCUGCAGGGGUGGCUGUUGUUCUCCAAGCUUUGCUAUGCCACCCAAGGAUGACAAGAAGAAGAAAGAUGCCAGAAAGACAGCCAAAAAGGACAAAGACCCAGUGAACAAAUCUGGAGGCAAGGACAAAAAGAAGGACUUAUUAAACUGGUUUCAAAGCACAGAGCUCAAGUAAUUUACACCAGAAACACCAAGGGUGGAGAUGCCCCAGCUCCUGGUGAAGAUGCAUGAGCAAGAUCCCACCAACUGCACUUUUUGGAAAAUAAAACUUUAUUAAAUUAAAAAAACUAGAGAGAAGGAGCAGUUAAGGAGUAAGAAAUUCAAGAGUCCAUAAUUAAGAAAAAGUUGAUUAGCUGUUCAGGUGAUGAAGAGAGAGUUGAGUAAACAAUCUUUAAAAACAAUGAUACCAGGUAUUCUUAUCUUCUGCAGAGGGCAAUUCAAGACAAAAUUUAUUUUGAGAUGUUGAUACAUGACUUAGACCAAUGUAACAAAUAAUUCUUCUCAAGAAUGUUAAUUAAACAAAGCUUACCCAGGUUGCUUCUGGACAGGGUAUUUAGGUUUCUUAAUUCUAGAAUGAUUUGAAUAUAGUUUGUUUUCCCAGAAUGUGUGCCUGUGACACCUGAAUUUUCUACCUUCAUUUUUGCCCAUUGCUUGCUCUUUUGUUCUAUCUAAAUGAAUUUGGGGUUGGGAGCAAGAUAAUGACCUUAGAACACCCUGAACUCACCUACUCCCCAAAACAUACAAAAUUUUACCUAUUUACAGAGCAAUUCUUCUUAAAUAAGAACUGAGGGCCUUCUGAACAGCUUCUGCAUAACAAAAGAUAGAAUGGCAAAGAGAAUAGCAAGAGAGACAGACACUUGGAGACUUAGAGACUCAGUAACAAAGGGAACCCCCAUACCCAAUGCUGCAAGCCACAGUCGGAAGGGACAGUACUGAGGGAACAUAUUCCUCUGUCCUUAUGCACAGAAAAAAAAGCCUCUUUAAAAGAACAAGUAGCAUAUAAAUGAGACAGCUCUAAAACUUCACCAAAUG
RNAcentral lists this long non-coding RNA (1210 nucleotides) under Canis lupus familiaris (dog). RNAcentral describes it as "lncRNA (ENSCAFG00000054132.1)". The record is from RNAcentral. Lineage: Eukaryota; Metazoa; Chordata; Mammalia; Carnivora; Canidae.